RNAcentral lists this ribosomal RNA (468 nucleotides) under uncultured bacterium. RNAcentral's name for it is "bacterial SSU rRNA". It matches the Rfam family "Bacterial small subunit ribosomal RNA", at positions 330 to 794 of the family's 1533-position model. The record is from RNAcentral.
GCCAGACUCCUACGGGAGGCAGCAGUGAGGAAUAUUGGUCAAUGGCCGAGAGGCUGAACCAGCCAAGUCGCGUGAGGGAAGACGGCCCUACGGGUUGUAAACCUCUUUUGUCGGGGGGCAAAGCGAGUCACGUGUGACUCAUUGAGAGUACCCGAAGAAAAAGCAUCGGCUAACUCCGUGCCAGCAGCCGCGGUAAUACGGAGGAUGCGAGCGUUAUCCGGAUUUAUUGGGUUUAAAGGGUGCGUAGGCUGUGAGGUAAGUCAGCGGUGAAAUGCCCCCGCUCAACGGGGUGAAGUGCCAUUGAUACUGCCUUGCUGGAAUGCGGAUGCCGUGGGAGGAAUGUGUGGUGUAGCGGUGAAAUGCAUAGAUAUCACACAGAACACCGAUUGCGAAGGCAUCUCACGAAUCCGCGAUUGACGCUGAUGCACGAAAGCGUGGGUAUCGAACAGGAUUAGAUACCCCAGUAUA